Molecule: long non-coding RNA, 853 nt
Filed under: Ananas comosus (pineapple)
Lineage: Eukaryota; Viridiplantae; Streptophyta; Magnoliopsida; Poales; Bromeliaceae
Description: long non-coding RNA (ACOM_LNC026640)
Source: RNAcentral
UUACUGCGAAAAAUGCCCAGUCUAGGCAGUGCACUAGAGAUAAAGUGCGAGGGCUUAAAUGCAAUUGUCACAACACCUUAUAUGGCUCAAUCCUCUCCCCUCUUCACAGCAAACACCCCAAACACAACACCUUAUAUGGCCCAAUCCUCUCCCCUCUUCACAGCAAACACCCCAAACACAACACCUUAUAUGGCCCAAUCCUCUCCCCUCUUCACAGCAAACACCCCAAACACAACACCUUAUAUGGCCCAAUCCUCUCCCCUCUUCACAGCAAACACCCCAAACACAACACCUUAUAUGGCCCAAUCCUCUCCCCUCUUCACAGCAAACACCCCAAACACAACACCUUAUAUGGCCCAAUCCUCUCCCCUCUUCACAGCAAACACCCCAAACACCUCUCCCUCUCAUUUCCUCUGCUCUCUCUCUCUAGAGCUCACCUAGGGCUUGAAGGAGAAGAAGAAGAAGCUUGGGGGAGGAUUUUUGGUGGAUUUGGUGGGUUUAGGAUCUCUCCUAUAAGAAGGAUCUUGGAGAGCUUUGGACCAAGGUAUGGUUUCAUGAAAACCUAGGCUAGGGUUUGGAUUUCUCCCAAGAAAACUUAGGUUUUGGAGCUUCUUCGAUGAUUAGAGCACCUCUUGAGGCUUGAGCUCCAUGAAAAUCCAUGGAAGCCCAAGGUCCUCUCAUGAUGAACUUCUUGGGUUCAUCUUGGAUGCCCUAGAAAUGGCUUAGUUGGCCUUAGAUGAGCACCAAGAAGCUUGACAAGCUCUAUUUUGCUUGUUUUAGAGAUCAAAACCUAGGGUUUAGCAAUGGAUUUGGUUAGGGCACCAAAUUUGGGGCUUUUGCCCUAGAAUUUUUC